CCUGGAUCUAUUGUGAAGGUCCAACCAACAGGACACACCUUUAGAUCAAAUGUGGCGUUGGGUGCUGGGGAUAUAGCGACCUAAGGAACACAUGAUUGUUGACUUUGCGGAACUUUUAUUACGGUCUGGGUGUCAGACCUUAGUCAAAUAAUCACUCACAUAAAUGCAAAGUUCAAACAGUUUAAGCUCUGAAGAAAAACAUGCCCAGGGCGUAAGAGGGGAUCUGAUGUGGCCAGGGGGUGAAGUGUUGUCAAGGAAAACUUCUCCGUGGAUUCAAAGGAUCCAUAUGCCUGACGGAGUGGGGGGAUCAGUUCUUUGCUCUUUGAAACGAGAUGAUCCAUCUCACACUGAAAGUUUCCUAUCGUGAGGUUCAGUGUCAUCUAGAGUCAACGGAUGAAGUAUAAGUGUUCACUGUGGAAUUUCUACAACACAAAAAGAAGAGGCUGGAUAAAGAAGAUAAACUGAAUAUUGAAACUGUUCCUUUUCCAUUAAAAAAUAGCAAAAAAAGUUUUCC
This 514-nucleotide long non-coding RNA is filed under the name Homo sapiens (human). RNAcentral describes it as "HSALNT0378623". Lineage: Eukaryota; Metazoa; Chordata; Mammalia; Primates; Hominidae. The record is from RNAcentral.